ACUCCCAGAUGGGACCGUCUAGUUGCAGGAAAACAAGCUCAGGGCUCCCACUGAUUCUACAUUAUGCACACCAAAGAGAGUUCUAGAAAAAAUGAGAAUAAGAAAUUUACCUGUAAUCCUUGCUCAAGAAACUGAAGCUCUGAGGCCACAUUGUUCCAGCCUUUUGCAGCUCCUGCAUGUGGAUACCAGCACCAGCAGCUCCCCGACCAGGGGCCCCAGCUAAGCCCUCCCAGAGGAUGAUCUUGGCUUUGUACAUGGGGUGUCAAUAUCCUGUGAGUCCAACAGAGGGAAGACAUAAGAAUAUGGUCACCCAGAACCACCUUAAAAGUAGACCUUUCAGAGCUACCCGAGAAUCCUGGUCCCUGCAGCUGAUCUUCCCACCUCCACCCAGCUCUCGUCCUCCUCUUCCUCCCCAUCCACCAUCCUGACCAGUCAAACUAUGGAAACCAUUGUAUCAGGAACUGAAAGGAGAUCAACAUGGCAGAACUGGAGAGUGGGAGAAGGCAAUGUUGAGAAAUUGGACUGGAGAGAGAAGCAGGGUGCAUAUCUCUAUUAUAGUAUUUAUCAGACUACUUAUCAUUAUUCAUUUUAAAAGUUCUUACUUGAUAUCUAGGGUUGACUUAUACCCAAUAAUUUACAUAUCUGAAUAUUUUGUGGAGAUAAUUAAUAACCUUCGUACAAUUCUCUAAAGUUCUAUGUCUUAGUAAACAUUAUUAAUCUAA
RNAcentral lists this long non-coding RNA (722 nucleotides) under Homo sapiens (human). Its description in RNAcentral is "long intergenic non-protein coding RNA 3060". Lineage: Eukaryota; Metazoa; Chordata; Mammalia; Primates; Hominidae. The record is from RNAcentral.